ACUUUCUGAAGUCCGGUUUAACUUAAAACCUCGGUCUAAGUCGAGUCUAACUUGCGCAAAAUUUAGACUCCGCCUAGGGGUAGUUUAAACCAUGGUUUAACUUUCAAAAUGGCUGAUCUGCUAGCUGCCUUGCGACGGGGAGAGCAAAUGCUCGAAUGGAAUCAAAGACAGAUCGAGAGGCCAUUGGUGGAAAGGAAAAACCCCUUUCAUAUUUAUGAGAACAACGAAUUUCUGCAGCGGUAUCGCUUCACGAAGCAAACUGCGUUACACAUUAUCGAGGAACUGACGCCAUCUUUGGAGAGACACACAAGUCGCACUAAUGCGGUGCCAGAGCACCUUCAAGUUCUCACCGCCAUGCGUUUUUACGCAGUUGGCAGUAUGCAAUCACAAUGGACUGCUAAUCAACCUUGUUGCCAGGUGGCCAGGAGGAACUCAUGAUUCCAAAAUAUUCAGAGAAUGCCAACUGAAAAAAAAUCUUGAACGAGAAAGUCAUGAAGAAAAAUGGCUUCUUGGCGACAGUGGGUGGAGGCUACAACCAAACUUUUCAGACAGACAUGAGAUACAAAGUUACACAAGUAUAAAUGGUUGAAGGUUUAGGAGAGCCAGACAAGAAGGCAGGAAAUGUGAUGUCACUUUUACUUCAAUGAACAUGGACAGCAGCAGGAGCAACAACAGCAUCAGCAGCCGAAACUACAACUGCAGUAAGAGAUGCAACAACCACACCGACAACAUCAACAGCAGCAGGAGCUCCAACAACCAUGCAGGGAACAUCGGGCGCAACAUAAAUAACUUCAUCAAGAGAUGCAACAACCACAGUGGUAAACAUCAACAGCAGUAGCAACAACGACAGUAGAAACAAAGCCAACAGCAAGGAUUCUAACAAGCAAUCAUACAAGCAACAACACAAGCGACAACAUCAAUAAAUGCAUCAGGAGAUGCAACAGCCACACUCGUAAACAGCAGCAGGAGCAGCGAUGACAACAGCAACCACACAGGCAACACCUUGAGCAACGUCAGUAGCAAAAAUAACUUAUUGCACCAGGAGAUGCAACAACCACACCCACAACACCAAGAGCAGCAAAAACAAACAGCAAUUCCAGCAACCACGAUAACCACAGCAGCAGCAACACCAACAACACUAAUGAACAUUGAAAAAACUUGUACAAAAGUCAAUGAGGUCGCAUUUUUCAGACAUUAUCAGACAUUGAUUAAAAAGUGCACAAUAAUUUAUUUGGGUUAAAGAAAAUUAUGUUUGAAAAAAUGUGUACAUUUGAAGAUGUUUACUAUGUAUUGAUUGAUAUAAUAUAGUUUUGAAGAUGAAAAUAUUA
Long non-coding RNA from Lytechinus pictus (painted urchin), 1328 nucleotides. RefSeq lists it as uncharacterized. NCBI's taxonomy places the organism in Eukaryota, Metazoa, Echinodermata, Echinoidea, Temnopleuroida, Toxopneustidae. The transcript is spliced from 4 exons. The record is from RefSeq and is a predicted model, not a curated record.